RNAcentral lists this ribosomal RNA (468 nucleotides) under uncultured bacterium. Its description in RNAcentral is "partial 16S ribosomal RNA". It matches the Rfam family "Bacterial small subunit ribosomal RNA", at positions 28 to 507 of the family's 1533-position model. The record is from RNAcentral.
GACGAACGCUGGCGGCGUGCUUAACACAUGCAAGUCGAACGGAAAGGCCCUGCUUUUGUGGGGUGCUCGAGUGGCGAACGGGUGAGUAACACGUGAGUAACCUGCCCUUGACUUUGGGAUAACUUCAGGAAACUGGGGCUAAUACCGGAUAGGAGCUCCUGCUGCAUGGUGGGGGUUGGAAAGUUUCGGCGGUUGGGGAUGGACUCGCGGCUUAUCAGCUUGUUGGUGGGGUAGUGGCUUACCAAGGCUUUGACGGGUAGCCGGCCUGAGAGGGUGACCGGCCACAUUGGGACUGAGAUACGGCCCAGACUCCUACGGGAGGCAGAAGUGGGGAAUAUUGCACAAUGGGCGGAAGCCUGAUGCAGCAACGCCGCGUGCGGGAUGACGGCCUUCGGGUUGUAAACCGCUUUCGCCUGUGACGAAGCGUGAGUGACGGUAAUGGGUAAAGAAGCCCCGGCUAACUACGUG